RNAcentral lists this ribosomal RNA (2905 nucleotides) under Enterobacter asburiae. RNAcentral describes it as "23S ribosomal RNA". It matches the Rfam family "Bacterial large subunit ribosomal RNA". The record is from RNAcentral. Lineage: Bacteria; Pseudomonadati; Pseudomonadota; Gammaproteobacteria; Enterobacterales; Enterobacteriaceae.
GGUUAAGCGACUAAGCGUACACGGUGGAUGCCCUGGCAGUCAGAGGCGAUGAAGGACGUGCUAAUCUGCGAAAAGCGCCGGCGAGGUGAUAUGAACCUUUGACCCGGCGAUGUCCGAAUGGGGAAACCCAGUGUGAUUCGUCACACUAUCGUUAACUGAAUACAUAGGUUAACGAGGCGAACCGGGGGAACUGAAACAUCUAAGUACCCCGAGGAAAAGAAAUCAACCGAGAUUCCCCCAGUAGCGGCGAGCGAACGGGGAGCAGCCCAGAGUCUGAAUCAGCUUGUGUGUUAGUGGAAGCGUCUGGAAAGUCGCACGGUACAGGGUGACAGUCCCGUACACGAAAAUGCACAGGUUGUGAACUCGAAGAGUAGGGCGGGACACGUGGUAUCCUGUCUGAAUAUGGGGGGACCAUCCUCCAAGGCUAAAUACUCCUGACUGACCGAUAGUGAACCAGUACCGUGAGGGAAAGGCGAAAAGAACCCCGGCGAGGGGAGUGAAAAAGAACCUGAAACCGUGUACGUACAAGCAGUGGGAGCACCUUCGUGGUGUGACUGCGUACCUUUUGUAUAAUGGGUCAGCGACUUAUAUUCUGUAGCAAGGUUAACCGUAUAGGGGAGCCGAAGGGAAACCGAGUCUUAACUGGGCGUUAAGUUGCAGGGUAUAGACCCGAAACCCGGUGAUCUAGCCAUGGGCAGGUUGAAGGUUGGGUAACACUAACUGGAGGACCGAACCGACUAAUGUUGAAAAAUUAGCGGAUGACUUGUGGCUGGGGGUGAAAGGCCAAUCAAACCGGGAGAUAGCUGGUUCUCCCCGAAAGCUAUUUAGGUAGCGCCUCGUGAACUCAUCUUCGGGGGUAGAGCACUGUUUCGGCUAGGGGGCCAUCCCGGCUUACCAACCCGAUGCAAACUACGAAUACCGAAGAAUGUUAUCACGGGAGACACACGGCGGGUGCUAACGUCCGUCGUGAAGAGGGAAACAACCCAGACCGCCAGCUAAGGUCCCAAAGUCAUGGUUAAGUGGGAAACGAUGUGGGAAGGCACAGACAGCCAGGAUGUUGGCUUAGAAGCAGCCAUCAUUUAAAGAAAGCGUAAUAGCUCACUGGUCGAGUCGGCCUGCGCGGAAGAUGUAACGGGGCUAAACCAUGCACCGAAGCUGCGGCAGCGACGCUUAGGCGUUGUUGGGUAGGGGAGCGUUCUGUAAGCCGUUGAAGGUGUGCUGUGAGGCAUGCUGGAGGUAUCAGAAGUGCGAAUGCUGACAUAAGUAACGAUAAAGCGGGUGAAAAGCCCGCUCGCCGGAAGACCAAGGGUUCCUGUCCAACGUUAAUCGGGGCAGGGUGAGUCGACCCCUAAGGCGAGGCCGAAAGGCGUAGUCGAUGGGAAACAGGUUAAUAUUCCUGUACUUGGUGUUACUGCGAAGGGGGGACGGAGAAGGCUAUGUUAGCCGGGCGACGGUUGUCCCGGUUUAAGCAUGUAGGCGGAGGUUCCAGGUAAAUCCGGUACCUUUUAACGCUGAGGUGUGAUGACGAGGCACUACGGUGCUGAAGUAACAAAUGCCCUGCUUCCAGGAAAAGCCUCUAAGCAUCAGGUAACAUCAAAUCGUACCCCAAACCGACACAGGUGGUCAGGUAGAGAAUACCAAGGCGCUUGAGAGAACUCGGGUGAAGGAACUAGGCAAAAUGGUGCCGUAACUUCGGGAGAAGGCACGCUGAUAUGUAGGUGAAGCCCCUGCGGGUGGAGCUGAAAUCAGUCGAAGAUACCAGCUGGCUGCAACUGUUUAUUAAAAACACAGCACUGUGCAAACACGAAAGUGGACGUAUACGGUGUGACGCCUGCCCGGUGCCGGAAGGUUAAUUGAUGGGGUUAGCGGUAACGCGAAGCUCUUGAUCGAAGCCCCGGUAAACGGCGGCCGUAACUAUAACGGUCCUAAGGUAGCGAAAUUCCUUGUCGGGUAAGUUCCGACCUGCACGAAUGGCGUAAUGAUGGCCAGGCUGUCUCCACCCGAGACUCAGUGAAAUUGAACUCGCUGUGAAGAUGCAGUGUACCCGCGGCAAGACGGAAAGACCCCGUGAACCUUUACUAUAGCUUGACACUGAACACUGGUCCUUGAUGUGUAGGAUAGGUGGGAGGCUUUGAAGCGUGGACGCCAGUCUGCGUGGAGCCAACCUUGAAAUACCACCCUUUAAUGGCUGGUGUUCUAACGUAGACCCGUAAUCCGGGUUGCGGACAGUGUCUGGUGGGUAGUUUGACUGGGGCGGUCUCCUCCCAAAGAGUAACGGAGGAGCACGAAGGUUAGCUAAUCCUGGUCGGACAUCAGGAGGUUAGUGCAAUGGCAUAAGCUAGCUUGACUGCGAGAGUGACGGCUCGAGCAGGUGCGAAAGCAGGUCAUAGUGAUCCGGUGGUUCUGAAUGGAAGGGCCAUCGCUCAACGGAUAAAAGGUACUCCGGGGAUAACAGGCUGAUACCGCCCAAGAGUUCAUAUCGACGGCGGUGUUUGGCACCUCGAUGUCGGCUCAUCACAUCCUGGGGCUGAAGUAGGUCCCAAGGGUAUGGCUGUUCGCCAUUUAAAGUGGUACGCGAGCUGGGUUUAGAACGUCGUGAGACAGUUCGGUCCCUAUCUGCCGUGGGCGCUGGAGAAUUGAGGGGGGCUGCUCCUAGUACGAGAGGACCGGAGUGGACGCAUCACUGGUGUUCGGGUUGUCAUGCCAAUGGCACUGCCCGGUAGCUAAAUGCGGAAAAGAUAAGUGCUGAAAGCAUCUAAGCACGAAACUUGCCCCGAGAUGAGUUCUCCCUGACCCUUUAAGGGUCCUGAAGGAACGUUGAAGACUACGACGUUGAUAGGUCGGGUGUGUAAGCGCAGCGAUGCGUUGAGCUAACCGAUACUAAUGAACCGUGAGGCUUAACCUU